GACGAACGCUGGCGGCGUGCUUAACACAUGCAAGUCGAACGGAAAGGCCCUGCUUUUGUGGGGUGCUCGAGUGGCGAACGGGUGAGUAACACGUGAGUAACCUGCCCUUGACUUUGGGAUAACUUCAGGAAACUGGGGCUAAUACCGGAUAGGAGCUCCUGCUGCAUGGUGGGGGUGGGAAAGUUUCGGCGGUUGGGGAUGGACUCGCGGCUUAUCAGCUUGUUGGUGGGGGAGUGGCUUACCAAGGCUUUGACGGGUAGCCGGCCUGAGAGGGUGACCGGCCACAUGGGGACUGGGAUACGGCCCAGACUCCUACGGGAGGCAGCAGUGGGGAAUAUUGCACAAUGGGCGGAGGCCUGAUGCAGCAACGCCGCGUGCGGGAGGACGGCCUUCGGGUUGUAAACCGCUUUCGCCUGGGACGAAGCGUGAGUGACGGUAAUGGGUAAAGAAGCACCGGCUAACUACGUG
RNAcentral lists this ribosomal RNA (468 nucleotides) under uncultured bacterium. Its description in RNAcentral is "partial 16S ribosomal RNA". It matches the Rfam family "Bacterial small subunit ribosomal RNA", at positions 28 to 507 of the family's 1533-position model. The record is from RNAcentral.